UGCGCAGGCGGAAUGAUAAGUCAGUGGUGAAAUCCUACAGCUCAACUGUAGAACUGCCAUUGAUACUGCCAUUCUUGAGUACAGUGGAAGUGGGCGGAAUGUAUCAUGUAGCGGUGAAAUGCAUAGAUAUGAUACAGAACACCGAUAGCGAAAGCAGCUCACUAUACUGUAACUGACGCUCAGGCACGAAAGCGUGGGGAGCAAACAGGAUUAGAUACCCUGGUAGUC
Molecule: ribosomal RNA, 228 nt
Filed under: uncultured bacterium
Lineage: Bacteria
Description: partial 16S ribosomal RNA
Rfam family: Bacterial small subunit ribosomal RNA
Source: RNAcentral